RNAcentral lists this ribosomal RNA (423 nucleotides) under uncultured bacterium. RNAcentral describes it as "bacterial SSU rRNA". It matches the Rfam family "Bacterial small subunit ribosomal RNA", at positions 207 to 622 of the family's 1533-position model. The record is from RNAcentral.
AAGACCUUGCGCUUUUGGAGCGGCCGAUGUCUGAUUAGCUAGUUGGUGGGGUAAUGGCCUACCAAAGCUUCGAUCAGUAGCUGGUCUGAGAGGACGGCCAGCCACACUGGGACUGAGACACGGCCCAGACUCCUACGGGAGGCAGCAGUGGGGAAUUUUGGACAAUGGGCGCAAGCCUGAUCCAGCCAUGCCGCGUGAGUGAAGAAGGCCUUCGGGUUGUAAAGCUCUUUCAGCCGGGAAGAAAAGGCUGCGACUAAUAAUCGCAGUUCAUGACGGUACCGGAAGAAGANGCACCGGCUAACUACGUGCCAGCAGCCGCGGUAAUACGUAGGGUGCGAGCGUUAAUCGGAAUUACUGGGCGUAAAGGGUGCGCAGGCGGUUUUGUAAGUCAGAUGUGAAAUCCCCGGGCUUAACCUGGGAACU